This 427-nucleotide ribosomal RNA is filed under the name uncultured beta proteobacterium. Its description in RNAcentral is "bacterial SSU rRNA". It matches the Rfam family "Bacterial small subunit ribosomal RNA", at positions 355 to 774 of the family's 1533-position model. Lineage: Bacteria; Pseudomonadati; Pseudomonadota; Betaproteobacteria. The record is from RNAcentral.
UGGGGAAUUUUGGACAAUGGGCGAAAGCCUGAUCCAGCCAUGCCGCGUGAGUGAAGAAGGCCUUCGGGUUGUAAAGCUCUUUUAGUCGGAAAGAAAGAGUUGCAAUGAAUAAUUGUGAUUUAUGACGGUACCGACAGAAAAAGCACCGGCUAACUACGUGCCAGCAGCCGCGGUAAUACGUAGGGUGCGAGCGCUAAUCGGAAUUACUGGGCGUAAAGGGUGCGCAGGCGGUCUUGCAAGUCAGAUGUGAAAGCCCCGGGCUUAACCUGGGAAUUGCGUUUGAAACUACAAGGCUAGAGUGCAGCAGAGGGGAGUGGAAUUCCAUGUGUAGCAGUGAAAUGCGUAGAGAUGUGGAAGAACACCGAUGGCGAAGGCAGCUCCCUGGGUUGACACUGACGCUCAUGCACGAAAGCGUGGGGAGCAAACA